Long non-coding RNA from Amphibalanus amphitrite, 2692 nucleotides. RefSeq lists it as uncharacterized. NCBI's taxonomy places the organism in Eukaryota, Metazoa, Arthropoda, Thecostraca, Balanomorpha, Balanidae. The transcript has 3 exons. The record is from RefSeq and is a predicted model, not a curated record.
GUCGUCACGUGAACGUAGUGGAGUGCAGUGACGGUCAGCACAGCGGAGAGAAUAGUCCCCCAGAGGCGAGAAAACCGGAUCUGGCAGCAUUGGAGAGCGCCAGACGGGGAGAAGAGGAGAGAGGUGGAGGAAGAUUUUCCGGGAUCUCUGAGAUAUUGUGAUAGAAAUCUGCUUUUGAAGAUAUUUUGACGGCCAAAUGCGGGCGAUGAAUAUUUUGUUGCUGCUGGUGGCAGCAGCUGCAAUUAUAGAUGGCACCACUGCCGACAAGACGCAACGUCUGUCCCGACGCGUCACUGCCGAUGAUGCGGCCACCGACGAUGCAGCCACCAGUCGCCGUCGCUUCUCCCGCUACCGUGCCCGCUUCCCCAUCGGUCCGCGUCCCGUAGAAGACGACGAGGACGACACCGACAGCGACAACGACGAUGAUGAGCAGUUCCAGCAUCGGUCACGUGGCGGCGCUGCUGUUGAUCCGAUAGAUGUCGCUCCGACUGCUGAAGCGCCACCGUCAAGACGUGGAAGUAGAGCUCGAGGUUCGGGUCGACGAUUCAACACGGGACGCCGGGGAUCUCGCCAGCGAGGUGGAACUACCACCGAGAUACCGACCUCUCCGACCUCUGAGUCUCUAAGUCAACCAGGUCGCUCGCAGUUCGCCGGGCGUCAGCAAGCAACGUCUUCAUUCUCAGCUCCGUCACCUUCCGGAACCGAUAGCACGCGACAGCGAGGACAGCGAGGACGUGCCGGCUCUCGCUUCAACCUCGACGCCUACAUAAAGGAGACAGGUCGUCUUCCCAUCGCGGAUAUCGGGAUCGACGGCCUCCCGGGACAUUCAACGCUCACAUCGGGACCGGCUGGGACAUCAGCCCCUUCCACAGCUCCUUCCUCGAUUUCGUCCUCUGUUCAGGAUCAGGAUGUUGUACAGCCAGGACGACGUCGUGAUGGUGGUUUCUCCCGCACGGCGACCACCCAGAUUGCUGUGCCACGCCAGCCACCUAGACGUCGCCGACCCGUUCCUACAUCUCCCCCUUUCGUUGGUGAGACCCCGCAAGAACAGGCGGUUGUUUCGAGGGAUUCUUCUCUGAUCGAGGAGGCAGAUGAGGAGGAGGAGGCACCAGUCAGGCGAGGACGUUUCAGAAGUGGCACGCGGAAUGCCCUCGGGCGACGGGGAAGUCGGAAGCGGGUCAGGGUGAGGCCCGCUAUCAGGAACCCUGUGGUUUCUGUUGAAGAAGGCUUGGAAAAGCCGCGGGUACCCGAAAAUGUUGCCAAUGUCGAGACAAGCAUGAAGGUCCCUGCAUUGCUGGCAGCUUUCACAAAUUUGGCUCCGUAUGGUGAGGGUGAAGAUACCUCCCCUUCCCAUCCGAAUGGACUCGCCGACGACAUUGCCAUAGCGUUGCCGGCGCACCUCCCGGACGAGCUCAUUGGUGGUCGCGGGGGGAGGUCAUAUCUCCCGCGGCCCGGAUCUCAGUCUCUUUCACGUCCGGCUGGCGCCUCAAAUCCCAACGCCUAUCUGCCAGAGCCCCAGGUGAAACCCUCGCUUCAGGAGAACUCCUACCUGCCCACCUCAAACCUGCCACCUCGCUCUGAAAAACCGCCCUAUCUCCCCGAACCAGACAGCUUCGACCGGCCGCAGUCUUCCCUGUUCGACGGCCUGGCUUUGCCGCCUGUGGAGGCGCCGAUACCAAAGCCGCAGCCUGCGGCCGAACCGGCAGAAUGCAGUGCCGACCCGGGCGCGAUCCGUCUAGAGCUGCGGUUUUUGCGACCGUGCAGCACGGAUGCCGACUGUGGAGUAAAUCUGGCCUGCUUCUCGGCGGCAGCUCCGUGCUCAGGAGCGGCGCAGUCACAGGAAUCCGUAUGUCUGCCUGCUAUGGAGGCUGGAGCCGCGUGUUCGAGGGAUGCGCACUGCGCGUCAGCGCGUUGCCAUAGCAACGUGUGCCUCUAGUGUCGUCAUCCGCUGAUCUCAGCAAAGAAAAUGGAGGCGUAAAUGUGCCUUCCAAGUUCAUAAUCACGUGCAUAGGCAUAACGAAGCACAUUAUGCCAAGGAGAUGGUUUCGCGUUUGUUCAUUUUCAAUUGUAAGAUUGUAUGGUAAAAGGCGACAUUAAUUGCUGUUCAUUUAGGCGUGAACGACGUAAUCAAACUUAACGGCAAAAGUGGGUGUCAUCAACCAAUCAAUGAUGUGGAGUAUUUUAAGUGAUUAAUGAAUGUUCACAUGCAGUAGCCAAUACAUGAUGUGGUCUGAUAAUUAUGCUCUUGGGCUGGGGCUCAGGGCCACAUAAAUAAGAUUGUAAUACGAAAGAAACACCUAUGUCGAGCAAAGUAAGCCUCCAAAAGCAGUGAUCAAGGACACAGGUAAAAAAAAAAACGUUUCAGAUGAGACUUAGAGUUAUUACUCCAUUUAAGUUAGGUAAAUGAGGCAAUGUACGUAUUUCAACUACGUACUCAUCGUUGUUAUGAGAGAAACAUCUCCAUCUCAACUGUACAUAAGUAUGCAAUAGUAUCUGUCCAAACAUUUUCUAUUUGUAUUUUAGUGAAUCGAUAGCCAUGAAUACGUUUCGAAAGCUGGACUAUCGACUUCGUUCAGAACUCAUGCUAAGUGCUGGGGUGAGACCCUUAUGACUUGAGCUUGCGUUGAUUAAAUUAGAUGUUCCUUUGUGGUAUCAUGAGGAGAACCAAUACACAAUGCAAAAUAACGUAACU